UUCAAGAACGGUAUAAAAACAUCUUGCACUAUUUAUGAUGGAGGGCGACGCAAAUAUUUUCCGGGAAGCUGAGUGUCCCGUUAAGCUGCACCACAGGUAGCGGUCCGCAACCCUUCAUUUACCCCUCCCCAGCGCACAGGCCCCGCCCACCGCAACCCCCGGCGCCGGCACAGCCUCGCGCGCACUCACCACACAGUAGACGACACAGACGAACCUCCGCGCAGGCACCAUGGCGCUGUGGACACCGUACGCGGAACAGGCCCUCGAUCUUAGCCGAGCGACCGUGAAGAAGGAGCGAGCUUCGCCCGAACCCGAGGCCAUUGGAUACGGUACGGUGCCCGGAUACUACCCUCGACAGGCGAUAUCCCCUCACGACAGGCUGCCAAUACCGCAGUAUUACGUGAGCUACCAUGAGGCGUCCUGCGUGCCCACAGCGCAAAUAUCGCCGGAGUCGGUGCACGGCGCCUGGUCGCCCAGCUCCUGUCGCAAGUCGUCAUCACCUUUGGAACCCUUCGACGCCUACGAGGCUGAGUCUCUCUCCGACGACGUGGAGUACCAAGCGUUCGAGAGAGACGCACUGCGGGCGAUGGCGGAGAAGAACGGUGGCAGUCUGCUAGGCAACAACCCGCGCAUGCGGCGAGCGGUGCAGGGUAGCGCGGCGGCGGACGACUCCUACCGGCGUCAGCGCGAGCGCAACAACCACGCCGCCAAGCAGAGCCGCGACCGCCGCAAGCUAAGGGAGGUGCGCCUCGCCUUCCAGGUCACCUUUCUCAAGAAGAAGUUGGCGGACCUGCGCAUGCGCCUCGAUGAGCGGGUCUGCGCGCGCUGCCGGUAGCGGUGCACGUGUUAG
This is an RNA transcript of Papilio machaon (common yellow swallowtail), 850 nucleotides long. RefSeq lists it as uncharacterized. The transcript has a single exon. NCBI's taxonomy places the organism in Eukaryota, Metazoa, Arthropoda, Insecta, Lepidoptera, Papilionidae. The record is from RefSeq and is a predicted model, not a curated record.